AGUGAACGCUGGCGGUAGGCCUAACACAUGCAAGUCGAACGGCAGCACAGUAAGAGCUUGCUCUUACGGGUGGCGAGUGGCGGACGGGUGAGGAAUACAUCGGAAUCUACUUUUUCGUGGGGGAUAACGGAGGGAAACUUACGCUAAUACCGCAUACGACCUACGGGUGAAAGCAGGGGAUCUUCGGACCUUGCGCGAUUGAAUGAGCCGAUGUCGGAUUAGCUAGUUGGCGGGGUAAAGGCCCACCAAGGCGACGAUCCGUAGCUGGUCUGAGAGGAUGGUCAGCCAAACUGGACCUGAGCCACGGCCCAGAUCCCAAGGGGAGGCAGCAUUGGGGAAUAUUGGAAAAUGGGCGAAAGCCUGAGCCAGACAUACGGGGUGGGUGAAGAAGGCCUCCGGGUGGUAAAGCCCUUUUGUUGGGAAAGAAAAGCAGCAGGUUAAUACCGCGCUGUUCUGACGGUACCAAAAGAAUAAGCACCGGCUAACUUCGU
This 491-nucleotide ribosomal RNA is filed under the name uncultured bacterium. RNAcentral describes it as "partial 16S ribosomal RNA". It matches the Rfam family "Bacterial small subunit ribosomal RNA", at positions 29 to 506 of the family's 1533-position model. The record is from RNAcentral.